GCGCACGGGUGAGUAACACGUAUCCAACCUGCCGAUAACUCGGGGAUAGCCUUUCGAAAGAAAGAUUAAUAUCCGAUGGUAUAUUAAAACCGCAUGGUUUUACUAUAAAGAAUUUCGGUUAUCGAUGGGGAUGCGUUCCAUUAGUUUGUUGGCGGGGUAACGGCCCACCAAGACUACGAUGGAUAGGGGUUCUGAGAGGAAGGUCCCCCACAUUGGAACUGAGACACGGUCCAAACUCCUACGGGAGGCAGCAGUGAGGAAUAUUGGUCAAUGGACGAGAGUCUGAACCAGCCAAGUAGCGUGAAGGAUGACUGCCCUAUGGGUUGUAAACUUCUUUUAUAUGGGAAUAAAGUAUUCCACGUGUGGGAUUUUGUAUGUACCAUAUGAAUAAGGAUCGGCUAACUCCGUGCCAGCAGCCGCGGUAAUACGGAGGAUCCGAGCGUUAUCCGGAUUUAUUGGGUUUAAAGGGAGCGUAGGUGGAUUGUUAAGUCAGUUGUGAAAGUUUGCGGCUCAACCGUAAAAUUGCAGUUGAAACUGGCAGUCUUGAGUACAGUAGAGGUGGGCGGAAUUCGUGGUGUAGCGGUGAAAUGCUUAGAUAUCACGAAGAACUCCGAUUGCGAAGGCAGCUCACUAGACUG
RNAcentral lists this ribosomal RNA (638 nucleotides) under uncultured Bacteroidales bacterium. Its description in RNAcentral is "bacterial SSU rRNA". It matches the Rfam family "Bacterial small subunit ribosomal RNA", at positions 98 to 736 of the family's 1533-position model. Lineage: Bacteria; Pseudomonadati; Bacteroidota; Bacteroidia; Bacteroidales. The record is from RNAcentral.